RNAcentral lists this ribosomal RNA (176 nucleotides) under Naegleria australiensis. Its description in RNAcentral is "5.8S ribosomal RNA". The stretch from base 1 to 145 matches the Rfam family "5.8S ribosomal RNA". Rfam says of the family: 5.8S ribosomal RNA (5.8S rRNA) is a component of the large subunit of the eukaryotic ribosome. Lineage: Eukaryota; Heterolobosea; Eutetramitea; Acrasida; Naegleriidae. The record is from RNAcentral.
ACCUCUGUGCAAUGGAGCACACGCGUUACGCAUCGAUGAAGCCCGCGGCAAAAAGCGAUAUGUAAUGAGAUUCGUUAGCCUCGCGAUUCAUCAAAUUGGUGAACACAUACUGGACCUCUUCGGAGGUACUUGCGUUAGAGUGCUAGUUUUCUAUCAAUUGAUCCUGGUAAAAGGUG